GGAGAGCGAAAUAUAUAUUGAAGGGUAAUCCUACCCCAGGAAAUAACAAGGACAAGGACAAGGAGCAGGAAUAAAGGGAUUCGUGUGUCAAGGGCGUUUUGGAUUUCGAGAUUAGCACUUUCGAUUUACGGCUGCUCAAGUCGGGUCACUAGCCAACCUUUUUGUGUUCAGAAAACUCUUUCGGAUAUGUUAGAUGUGGCAUGUAUAGCAAGUGUAAUAUAGUUAAGACGUUUCAUUUACUUCGUUUUCCAGGUUGUAUAAAUAUAUAUAUAGGCUUUUAGAAACAGGUUUAUGGUCUAAUUUCAGAUGUCAUAUAGCAGUUUUUCCGUUUACCAAGGAAAGGAAAAUGAUAUAUCUUUGUAUAAAAAAAAGAAUCAAGGAUUUUCUGUUAAGUCCGGAUUUGUACCAAAAGGUGACAUCACUUAUUCGAUUAUUAAAUUAAUCGGGUAAGGGGUGUUUCAUGUUUUGGUAUCAGAGCCUAGGUUUAGGCGGUCCUAGGCUUGAGACGUGUUUAGAUGUGUCAAGAAACAUGCCACAUAGGAUUUUGAUUUGAGUCAUUGCUAGUGACCUGAUGUGUAUAUGUUUUCCUGAUGUGUCCAUGUUUGCCUGGCUUCAAGACUUGACAACUUUUAGUUUCUGAGUGAUGCAGAAAACCCUUCUGUAUAAGGUUCGAAAUAGUGAACCGAGGUUGAAUAGACCGAUGAUCCUGUAGUCAUCUGGCCGGCUAUUGAAAGAAAAAGCUUGCAAAUGCUGUCCUUUAAAUUGGCUAUUCAUCUUAUAUUAUAUACGAUGCCAAUCGUCGUCUUGUUCUUGCUUUCUGUCUUCUUCAAGUUUGGCUUGCCCUCGCUUUUUGAGUAGAACUUUCUCAACACCACGAAAAAGUCCACUUUGGUUUCCCACUGAUCUGAUCAUCCAUCAAAACUGGGCUUUAAAGCUCCUUUAGCUGAUACGGUGUAGUGAUAUGAAUAUGCCAAAUGAGAGUUAUCGUUCGUGAUUUCUUCCUCUGAGAAUUGUUUUUGGUCCUCUUGUUGACAUUGUGUUGGCUAAAUAACCUUUCACCCUCAUCUGAAAAUUUUUUGACAGUCUGUAUAUUCUCUGGGUUAAUUUUCCGCUUGUCAUCUUAUUAUAUUGUCAGAUUUUGACCAUUCCACAAUUCAUAAAAACUCUUUGAUCCAAAAUUUUUCUAUGACGAACAUUUGUUCCAUAUGGUUUGACUUGCAGGAUUCAUGGACUACCAUAUUGUUAACCAGAUCGAUGAGAUGUCCAUGAUUCUAAAUUUCCUUUCUCACUUCGUUAACUCAUUGAGAGUGUGGUGAUAACACCUUUUUUGUUUUGAAUAUGCGAUCAUUGAGUUAAUACAUUCUUGAAUUAUUACUAUUAUUUCACAUUUGUUGUUUCGGACCCUCCAACGUGCUUGCCUAUUGCUGAGCCUAUAAGAUAAUUGGAGAAAGAGAUUUUUCCCUGUUAGUACUGUUACCUUGGAGAAAUUAUCUUCUUUGAUUAAUUCCUCAUAAUCGUAUCAUUUUGGGUCACCUAAACAUUGAUUGUUUACUUAUCUACCACCACUGUGUCAUUAUUUUCUAUACCGAGUUUGGAGCUACUUGUAGUUUAUGUGAAACCUGAUUCUGACCCUUGAAACUUGGAAUACUUUUGGUUGAACCUUCUGUCCUUCGUGAUUUAUUGUCUUUAAUGACAAUAAUCCUUUACUUGUGUGCUUUUGCCACUAAAUUUUGUUGUUGAAGUUGUUCGAGCUUAUGUCUGUUAUAUUGACAAAGCCUCUUUGAUAGUUGUUUUUAAGAGAUGACACAGUAACCAUAAUAUCUUUGGUGACCCCUUCGAUAUAAAUUAUUGGCGUUCUUUCCUGCCGAAAUUACACUGAUUCCUUUGCCUAACCCUAUUGUUUAAAUUGUCUUCUAUCUCGAGACCUUUCUGCAACUUGAGAUUUGAGUUGAUGUUUUACCUUUGUCUCCAAUAACUCUGCUUCAAUCAUCAUCUUUAUGAGUUGUUUUUCUUCAAACUAUCUUCGAAACAUAUGGACCCAGCCAAUGAUAUGAUUUGUAUGUUCCUAUUGUUUCUUAACCAUGAUAUUUGUUAACUUAAGACCAGAUGUGACUAAGAGAAUAUGCUAACCAGUCAUUGUUCUAUUAAAAUUUUACCACCUCAAUCGUGAUUUUCUGACCUUUAGAUUAUUGACAAUUCGCUUAUGUCCUACUGAUGCUUAAAUUGUUCUGAAAGGUAAUAAAUAUCUAAUUAUGGAGCAAAGUUUCCAUGUGACUGAGAAAGUAGUUAAGUGGAACAGGCCACUCCAUGUAACUCGAAUCUCAGUAGCGUCCUUCUUUGAUAAACCGAUGGGUUUUAACUUUGAAGUCAUUUCAUUGGACUUAUUGUCAUUUCAUUCUUACCAUCGGUUACCUUUUCCAAGCUUGUUCGUUAAUUAUUUGAUGAAAUCUUUUGAUCAGUCACUCUACUACAAUGUAUUAAAGGGAUCAUCUAUUUUCUCAUCAUUGUUGUUUCCUGUUGAUUUUCCAUUCCAUGGAAUUUGUGAAUCAACUCUUCCAAUUGGUAUCUUCAUGUCUUUAUCCGAAAUAUCUUUUUGUGAUAUCAUAUUCGUUGAACAUCUGAGAUGAUCAAUCUCUGAAUUUUCUUUUGAAGAUUAAGUUUAACCACUUAUUAUUCACUUGAGGCAUCCAAUGAGUUAAUGAUCCAUUUUUUUUUACUCAAUAAUUUCCUCAAUCAUGUGAACCGGAUUAACCAGAGUCUCUGUGUCUUGUCAUCUAAUAUUUCUCGUACAUCUGCACUAGAAAGUCAUGCCUUGAUGGAUUUCUUUGUAUCUGCGUUUGGAUCACCCUAUCCAGGAUCUUCUGUUUUGGAUUACUAGGAGGCAAUAUGUGUCUUCAUACCUAUUUCUUCUGUAAUGUGUAACCUUCUAUUAUUUUAUAUUGUUCUGUACCCUUGCCUAUUGGAGUUAGUGAUAUUUUUGACCAUCUGAUGUUAGUUUCUGCUACCAGAACUUCUAUCAAAGAUAAAUUGCUUGUCUUGUCGGUAAGUUUCUUAUGAUCAUUUCUGAAUAAUCCACUCGAGAUAUCGAGGUAUUUUCUAAACUCUCUCUCUGGUGAAUAGUGUCUCUAUGUUUGCAUUUGAACUAGAUGUCUUGUGGCUCUUAUAUUACAAACAUCGCUUUUGGUGAAGUACGGUUUGCAUUUCUCUGUCCUUGAACAAUCCAAUCUCUUUGACAAUCUUUGCGAUUCCUCUCCCCAAAUGUAUAUCACGUGCUAUCUUUGAAUCAAUCAUUUACUUUAUAUAAAGUUCUCAUUUCUUUUUUGAGAGCGAGUUGUUCGAUCGGAAAUGGAACAGACUUAAAAAAAAGAAAAAAAAAAAGAAAAAAAAAUUCUACAUUUGUUAUGUUAUGAAAGUUCUUGAGGUUCAUUCGAAUCUGAAUUGUGAUAAACCUAUAAUUUGUGCUUACUGAGGCCAAUCCUUAAGCCUACGAUGAUCAGAUCUGAAAUUAUCUUGCAAAACUAAUUGUUGAUGAGAGAUUGUGACUUGUGACAAACUGGAGAUUUAAAACUCUUGAGUUCAUGUUGGUUUGGUUACUAUGAUUUAAUAUCUUUGAACUACUAUGAUAGUGAUUGGCUUACAGAAACAUCACUACAUGCUUAUGUGAUCAUUUGUGAUUCUGCUAUCUGAAGUUAAUAGGAUUUGAGGGAAAAUAUAUAUAUAUAUAUAUAUAUAUAAAUAAAUUCUCAUAUCAAUGCCAAUUGUUCUGUUGUCUUUAAUGUGGUGGGCUUGACUAAGACUAACUUUUGCAUGAAUUGGAUAUAUAAUUACCUUGAGAGAAUAUGAUAUGAAAGCAAUAUUCUGUCUCUUCGAUUCGGGUAUCAAUUUCGAGGACGAAAUUUCCUAAGGGGGGAGAGUUGUAACGCCCCGAAUUUUAAAAAAAAAAUAAAUAAAUUUUAAUUAGUUCAAAUGCGUCGGAAGUCGUAGAUAAAUUAAAUUCUAGAGGUGUGUAGAUAGUUUCUUAUUAUGUGAAUUAUUUGUUUGUGUGGUGUUUUUUGUUAGAAAGAGAGAAAGAAUAAAAGAAAAGAAAGAAAGGAAAUAAAGAAAUAAGAAAAGAAAAAGAAAUUGGAAAAGGGAAUGAGAUUUUUUUUAUCUCAAUUCCCCACUUACGGGAACCUUCUACACACACCUCUCUCUCUCUCUCUCUUUUCUCUUCACCAAUUCCUCAAAUUGAGAGAUACCCAAAAAUCGACCAAAAGGGGAAAUCCCCAAAUUGAGGAAAACCCUCAAUUCCCGUCGCCAUCCUCAACUCGCCGGAGUUGGCGACUGCCACUGCCACUGUUGGGUCCCCUGCACCUCGAUUUCCAUCUCCAGAAUCAGCCACCGCCGUCGUCUCCUUUGCGGAAAAACGCCGACGCAGCGAGGGGGGGACGGGCAGACGUUGCUCAGCCGCUGUCGCUGAAAUUCCGCCGUCGCCGCCGUGGUUAAUCAGCCGCUGCUGUUACAGCAGCCCCGAAACACUCCCAUUCAACCCGAAUCAACUCCGAACAGCCCCGAAAUCAACCCGAACAUCCACGCACAACCCCGAAAGAUAAGUUUCAUUACUAUUAUGUUCCUUUCGCAACUUCAGAUUAAUCACAACGGGUGUUCAAUUGUAAUGUUCGGUUUGUCAUUGAUUGUGUUGUUUGAUCGGUGAUACUUGUUGAUUGAAUUAUGUGGGAAAUCUAACGAAAUUAUUGGGAUGAUUAGAGUAUAUAGUUGGAUUAUCUUAGAUAGUAUGUAUGUAUUUGAAGUAUACAAGUAGAAAUCUUGUUGCAGUGAAGGAAAUUAAGGAAACAGCUACUGUGCCCUGUUCUGGCAGCAUGUUACAAGUCCCGUUUAACCAAGUAAACGACCUCAUUUUCUUACCAAAUUUUAACUGAACAUACUUUUAUGUGUCUUCUGCCAUGUGACCAAAAUUCAGCUUCAUCCGAGUUCAAAUGAAUUUAUAGUGAUUUUUGUAAUGAGACUGCCCCUGUUCUGCCAGGUUUGAAUAAAACAGACAUAAACCCUAAACAAAUUAGAAUUUGAAGUCCAAAGUUAAUCCCCAUAAAAUAGACAGUCAUGGCUUUUAUUUUCAUCGGGUUACGUUGAAUUUCGACUUCGUUGUUGACCAGAAUGAUUUUUCAAAGUCGGUGCAAAUUCUGUAAAAUCUUGGGACAUGAUAAAAGUUGAAAUGCUUAUGCUUUAACCUUAUUUUUGGACUAGUAUAUGAAGAUAUAUUUCCUAAUGUGAAAUCUUGAAGGAGAAAUAGUUGUUUUUGACUAAUCUAAUAUUUUGUAGUAUACAUGCAUAAAUAAUAGACCAGAAUUAUGAAAUUAAGUUAGAAAAUAAUGGUUAACUGUAUGAAUUUGAUACUUUAGAUGCGAGAGCGAAAUAUAUAUUGAAGGGUAAUCCUACCCCAGGAAAUAACAAGGACAAGGACAAGGAGCAGGAAUAAAGGGAUUCGUGUGUCAAGGGCGUUUUGGAUUUCGAGAUUAGCACUUUCGAUUUACGGCUGCUCAAGUCGGGUCACUAGCCAACCUUUUUGUGUUCAGAAAACUCUUUCGGAUAUGUUAGAUGUGGCAUGUAUAGCAAGUGUAAUAUAGUUAAGACGUUUCAUUUACUUCGUUUUCCAGGUUGUAUAAAUAUAUAUAUAGGCUUUUAGAAACAGGUUUAUGGUCUAAUUUCAGAUGUCAUAUAGCAGUUUUUCCGUUUACCAAGGAAAGGAAAAUGAUAUAUCUUUGUAUAAAAAAAAGAAUCAAGGAUUUUCUGUUAA
Salvia splendens (bonfire salvia) is the source of this 5794-nucleotide long non-coding RNA. RefSeq lists it as uncharacterized. The transcript has 3 exons. Lineage: Eukaryota; Viridiplantae; Streptophyta; Magnoliopsida; Lamiales; Lamiaceae. The record is from RefSeq and is a predicted model, not a curated record.